This 496-nucleotide ribosomal RNA is filed under the name uncultured bacterium. RNAcentral describes it as "partial 16S ribosomal RNA". It matches the Rfam family "Bacterial small subunit ribosomal RNA", at positions 28 to 506 of the family's 1533-position model. The record is from RNAcentral.
GAUGAACGCUGGCGGCGUGCCUAAUACGUGCAAGUCGAGCGAACGGACGAGAAGCUUGCUUCUCUGAUGUUAGCGGCGGACGGGUGAGUAACACGUGGAUAACCUACCUAUAAGACUGGGAUAACUUCGGGAAACCGGAGCUAAUACCGGAUAAUAUUUUGAACCGCAUGGUUCAAAAGUGAAAGACGGUCUUGCUGUCACUUAUAGAUGGAUCCGCGCUGCAUUAGCUAGUUGGUAAGGUAACGGCUUACCAAGGCAACGAUGCAUAGCCGACCUGAGAGGGUGAUCGGCCACACUGGAACUGAGACACGGUCCAGACUCCUACGGGAGGCAGCAGUAGGGAAUCUUCCGCAGUGGGCGAAAGCCUGACGGAGCAACGCCGCGUGAGUGAUGAAGGUCUUCGGAUCGUAAAACUCUGUUAUUAGGGAAGAACAUAUGUGUAAGUAACUGUGCACAUCUUGACGGUACCUAAUCAGAAAGCCACGGCUAACUACGU